RNAcentral lists this ribosomal RNA (488 nucleotides) under uncultured bacterium. RNAcentral describes it as "partial 16S ribosomal RNA". It matches the Rfam family "Bacterial small subunit ribosomal RNA", at positions 28 to 507 of the family's 1533-position model. The record is from RNAcentral.
GACGAGCGCUGGCGGCGUGCUUAACACAUGCAAGUCGAACGCGCCUGUCCUCUGGGUUUCUGGGGGGUGGGUGAGUGGCGAACGGGUGAGUAACACGUGAGUAACCUGCCCCCUUCUUCGGGAUAACGGUCUGAAAGGGCUGCUAAUACCGGGUAUUCACUGGUCUCCGCAUGGGGUCUGGUGGAAAGGUUUUUUUCUGGUGGGGGAUGGGCUCGCGGCCUAUCAGCUUGUUGGUGGGGUGAUGGCCCACCAAGGCUUUGACGGGUAGCCGGCCUGAGAGGGUGACCGGUCACAUUGGGACUGAGAUACGGCCCAGACUCCUACGGGAGGCAGCAGUGGGGAAUAUUGCACAAUGGGCGCAAGCCUGAUGCAGCGACGCCGCGUGAGGGAUGGAGGCCUUCGGGUUGUGAACCUCUUUCGCCCGUGGUCAAGCCGCGACGUGGGUCGUGGUGAGGGUAGUGGGUAAAGAAGCGCCGGCUAACUACGUG